AUGAUGUUAGCUGCCCUCCUCUCGCCUCUGGCUGCUGAGAACUCGAGACUGUUAAUUGAUGUUUUAGGCUUGAACUGGACGAUUCGAAAGCUAGAUGGGGGUGCACUCUGCACACAUAAGAUUAGCCAAGAGAGGGUGGCCAAAUUGUGGUAUGUGUUUACUUUGCAAGAGGGUGCAAGAAAGCGGGUCACACCUAUUCUUUAA
This 204-nucleotide ribosomal RNA is filed under the name Triticum aestivum (bread wheat). Its description in RNAcentral is "partial small subunit ribosomal RNA". Lineage: Eukaryota; Viridiplantae; Streptophyta; Magnoliopsida; Poales; Poaceae. The record is from RNAcentral.